AAACGAUGGAUGCCCGCCGUUGGCACUUGGUGCCUGCGGCCAAGCGAAAGCGUUAAGCAUCCCACCUGGGGAGUACGCCGGCAACGGUGAAACUCAAAGGAAUUGACGGGGGCCCGCACAAGCGGAGGAACAUGUGGUUUAAUUCGAUGAUACGCGAGGAACCUUACCCGGGCUUGAAUUGCUGAGGAAAGCUCCAGAGAUGGUGCUGCCCUUCGGGGUCUCAGUGAAGGUGCUGCAUGGCUGUCGUCAG
Molecule: ribosomal RNA, 250 nt
Filed under: uncultured bacterium
Lineage: Bacteria
Description: partial 16S ribosomal RNA
Rfam family: Bacterial small subunit ribosomal RNA
Source: RNAcentral